RNAcentral lists this small nuclear RNA (103 nucleotides) under Aotus nancymaae (Ma's night monkey). The record is from RNAcentral. Lineage: Eukaryota; Metazoa; Chordata; Mammalia; Primates; Aotidae.
AUGCUCUCUUUGGCAGCACCUCUACUAAAACUGGAACCAUGCAGAGGUUAGCAUGGUCCCCGCAGAAGGAUGACAGCACCUUUGUGAAGCGUUUUAUGUCUGU